RNAcentral lists this ribosomal RNA (454 nucleotides) under uncultured bacterium. RNAcentral describes it as "bacterial SSU rRNA". It matches the Rfam family "Bacterial small subunit ribosomal RNA", at positions 340 to 786 of the family's 1533-position model. The record is from RNAcentral.
UACGGGAGGCAGCAGUGGGGAAUAUUGCACAAUGGGCGCAAGCCUGAUGCAGCCAUGCCGUGUGUAUGAAAAAGGCCUUCGGGUUGUAAAGUACUUUCAGUCGUGAGGAAGGUGUUAAGGUUAAUAACCUUAGCAAUUGACGUUAGCGACAGAAGAAGCACCGGCUAACUCCGUGCCAGCAGCCGCGGUAAUACGGAGGGUGCGAGCGUUAAUCGGAAUUACUGGGCGUAAAGGGCACGCAGGCGGUUAAUUAAGUUGGAUGUGAAAUCCCCGGGCUUAACCUGGGAAUGGCAUUCAAGACUGGUUAGCUAGAGUCUUGUAGAGGGGGUAGGAAUUCCAUGUGUAGCGGUGAAAUGCGUAGAGAUGUGGAGGAAUACCGGUGGCGAAGGCGGCCCCUGGACAAAGACUGACGCUCAUGUGCGAAAGCGUGGGGAGCAAACAGGGAUUAGAUACC